RNAcentral lists this ribosomal RNA (253 nucleotides) under uncultured bacterium. RNAcentral describes it as "partial 16S ribosomal RNA". It matches the Rfam family "Bacterial small subunit ribosomal RNA", at positions 524 to 776 of the family's 1533-position model. The record is from RNAcentral.
GACAGAGGGUGCAAAUGUUGUUCGGAAUCACUGGGCGUAAAGGGAGCGUAGGCGGGUUUCUAAGUCAGGUGUUUAAUCCCGGGGCCCAACCCCGGACAGGCACUUGAAACUGGGAAUCUUGAAUAGUGGAGAGGUCAGUGGAAUUGGGGGUGUAGCGGUGGAAUGCGUAGAGAUCCCCAAGAACACCAGUUGCGAAGGCGGCUGACUGGACACAUAUUGACGCUGAGGCUCGAAAGCAUGGGGAGCAAACAGG